GUUGCAUUUAAGCCAUUUCUAUAACAAAUAUCUCUACAAACUUGCCUUUAUAAUCCAACUUUUUUUUUUUUUUUUGCUGUGAUAGACUAUCCAGCACCAAGCAGUACAUGGUAGAAAUCUCUAUCAAACACAUGCAGGCAAAUCACUGUUAGUAUAGUACAGCCAGAUACAGUAUCUAUUUUAGGGGUGGCCUUAAUUACAUUUUUCCCAAAAAAUAUUUUCCAAGAUCUACCCUGGGGCACUAGCUGCCCUUUUCUAUCCUAGCCACAGCAGUGAACUCUCCUGGCUCCUAAGAGCUGAUCCAGUAGUGAGACUGGGAAGUGAGAAACUGGUAGGGGGGCCCCUUUGGUGUCACUUGCAGCAAUUCAGAAGAUGACAACUCAUCAUGGGAGACCUCCCGAUUCCUAAACUGCUGGACUCCACUUGGUGAAUAACCAUGGCAGAGGACAAACACACACUGUGUCCUGGAGACCACAGUCUUUUGUUUCUUACUCAGUGUUCACGUGGGCCACAGAAAGCCGGUCUCCUCAUGAGAAACAGAUACACAGGACAAACUACACAAGUUUUCCAGAAGAAAAAGAACAGAGCUUGUUUUAAGAAAUUUGUACUUUUCAUUUCAUUACUUAGGAAUUACAAGAGACUUUGCAGAAGGGUAAAAAUGGGGAGCGACAUCCCUCUGAUAGAAAUGAGAUGCAAAGACCACGUGAGUUACCUGCCCGGUCCCAGUAAGGGAUCCUAAUUCUGGAAGGAAAUUAUUUAAGGACUCUUUUUAGCCUUGAGGGUCUGAGAUGCAAUCAGAUUUUAAGAUGAGCAACACUUUUCAGUGACUGAUCUCCAUCCAGGCAUGUGGUCUGGGAUUCUGCCUUAGUACAUGCCUUCUGACAACUGGGAGAGGCUCACCAAAGAUGAAGUUCAUGUGACGCCAAGUAGAAGAGAAGAAAGAGGCCUUGAAUAAAAGCAGAGGAGUUAAGAUGCAUAUGAAAGAUAAUGAGCCCCUGGAGGUUUUUGAACAAAGAGAUGAGAAAAGAGACCGUUAUUUUAGAUGUCUCAAGACCACUUUACUGAAACACUACCUUAAAAAAAGAGUCUCAUUACAAUGGAAACAAAAAGCUAUUACGAAUUAAAUACUGUGAUGGUUAAUACUGAGUGUCAACUUGAUUGAAGGAUGAAAAGUAUUGUUCCCAGGUGUGUCUGUGAGGGUGUUGCUAGAGGAGAUUAACAUUUGAGUCAGUGGACUAGGACACGCAGACCCACCCUCAAUCUGGGUCGGCACCAUUUAAUCUGCAUCAGCACGGCCAGAAUAAAAACAGGCAGAAGAAAAUGUGAAAAGACUAAACUGGCUUAAGUCUCCCAGCCUACAUCUUUCUCCCAUGCUGGAUGCUUCCUGCCCUUGAACAUCAGACUCCAAGUUCUUAGCUUUGGGACUUCUGGACCUUUGACCAUAGACUAAAAGCUGCACUGUUGGCUUCCCUACUUUUGAGGUUUUGGGACUCGGAAUGGCUUCCUUGCUCCUCAGCUUGCAGAUGGCCUACUGUGGGACUUCACUUUGUGAUCAUGAGAAAUCAACAUCUCAUGGAAGAAGUUUCAGUGUACACUCCUGCCUUUAGUCCAACAUACAAACCAUUACAAGAGGAUGCAAUUUAUCCCUGUUUUCUUUUUUAAAGUAUGAAAGAGAGAAUUCACAAACACUAAAUCUUUCUAAAGGUAUAACAUGGUAAAGGAAUGAAAGGGUCUGCAUAAAAUAAUCUAGAAAAAAAAAAAAAAAAAGAAGGGAAGGUAGUUGAAUCUAUACCAGGGAUGGGCAAAUGACUGCCCAUGCAUGGCCUGUUUUGUAUGGGCCGUGAGUUAAGAAUAAAGAGCUAUAAAUAAAACAAAAAAAGAAUAAGCUGCAGCGACAUGUGGCCUGUAAAGCCUAAAAUAUUUAUUAGCUGGAUCUUUACAGAACAAAUCUGCUGAAUCCUGUUGUAUACCAAUCUGGAUAUGGAUGAUGCUUGUGUCUUCUGAAUGAAAAUUGGCCUAGGACCUCUGAAGAAAAGCUGGUUUCAAUUAGGCUUAGUGUUGUCUGAAAGACUGAGCAGAUCUAAGAGACAAGAUUUAUAAAAACAGAUUGCUAACACUGCAUUUCUAUUUAAUGUUUCAAUUUCUCUUGCUUUUGAUGCCUACCCUACGUUUUAUAAAACAGUAGAACACUAUAGUUACCAUGAAAAUACAUCUUCAAAAUAUUCUCUUAGAAUGAAAGGAAGAUUCACAAUAAUGCUUAUGAUGUAACACUUUAUGUCAAACUUAAAUUUAUAUUUAAAGUAUUUCAAUUAUCUUGAAUCCCCAUGUGCUAUAAGGAACACAGUAGUUAA
This 2351-nucleotide long non-coding RNA is filed under the name Homo sapiens (human). RNAcentral describes it as "HSALNT0057501". The record is from RNAcentral. Lineage: Eukaryota; Metazoa; Chordata; Mammalia; Primates; Hominidae.